Molecule: ribosomal RNA, 427 nt
Filed under: uncultured bacterium
Lineage: Bacteria
Description: partial 16S ribosomal RNA
Rfam family: Bacterial small subunit ribosomal RNA
Source: RNAcentral
GUGGGGAAUAUUGGGCAAUGGGGGAAACCCUGACCCAGCAACGCCGCGUGAAGGAAGAAGGCUUUCGGGUUGUAAACUUCUUUUAUGAGGGACGAAGAAGUGACGGUACCUCAUGAAUAAGCCACGGCUAACUACGUGCCAGCAGCCGCGGUAAUACGUAGGUGGCAAGCGUUGUCCGGAUUUACUGGGUGUAAAGGGCGCGUAGGCGGGAUAGCAAGUCAGGUGUGAAAUCCGGGGGCUCAACCCUCGAACUGCACUUGAAACUGUUAUUCUUGAGUGAUGGAGAGGCAGGCGGAAUUCCUAGUGUAGCGGUGAAAUGCGUAGAUAUUAGGAGGAACACCAGUGGCGAAGGCGGCCUGCUGGACAUUAACUGACGCUGAGGCGCGAAAGCGUGGGGAGCAAACAGGAUUAGAUACCCGUGUAGUCC